Molecule: long non-coding RNA, 110 nt
Filed under: Cyanistes caeruleus (blue tit)
Lineage: Eukaryota; Metazoa; Chordata; Aves; Passeriformes; Paridae
Description: lncRNA (ENSCCEG00000016665.1)
Source: RNAcentral
CUUGGGACCACUAUUGAGAAGAAGUUAUGAACAAAGAGGCUGAAGAGGGAGUUCUGCCACAAAUCACUGAUUCACGGCUGGACACUUGUAACCAAGCACUGACGUCUAAC